Sphaerodactylus townsendi is the source of this 1438-nucleotide long non-coding RNA. RefSeq lists it as uncharacterized. Lineage: Eukaryota; Metazoa; Chordata; Lepidosauria; Squamata; Sphaerodactylidae. The transcript is spliced from 2 exons. The record is from RefSeq and is a predicted model, not a curated record.
CGACGCACGGAGAGGAGGGGGGAGGGGAGAAGGCACCGAGGGAAGGGAGGCCUGUGGCGGUGGUGGCGCUGGAAGUGGCUCAGUUUCAAUGUAGCUGAAGUAGGAGCCGAAUGAGGCAAAAAUGCCCCCGGGGACCGCAGGCCCCGCUGGGUGAGGCGGGCUCGAGUGGCCCCUGCUGGUUCUCCUUAUCAGAGCCUGGGGGGAGAGAGGGGGAGGGUUUGAGCAGGGUUCUCCUGUCCCUACUUGUCGCCUUUAAAUGCUACAGAUUUCCAUCUGCUUGCAAAACUCAAGAUGGCAGUGGAGAAAGAAGGACUGGAAGUGGAGCAUUCUCAAGGAUUUUGAGAUAUUGGUUCACAAUCUAUAUCUGCUUUGAAGAACUUAAAUACCCAGUCCCUAAGGCAAGAACUUUUCAAUAAGGUUAAACUUCUUGUCAACAUGUGUUGUUAGUAGAGAAGGAAAAAUAGGGCAUGAACCCAAAUUACAGAUUGGUGAAAUUUUAGCCUUGAUAAAGCUCCCACCUUUGUUGUAUGGAUAAAAUGGAAUCUAUGUAGUACUCAUUUGGGAUUGCAGUCAAAUAAGUGGCCUUCCUAGUACUACAGUAUAGUGUUAGAAUUAAAUGGUAUGCCUUGAUAUUGCAUUCUUGCAUUUUUUUCCCAGCUUAUCAAGUGAUUCUAGCCAGUAGAGGGAAAUUUUAAAAAACUGUGCUUCUAGUUUAAGUUUACUAAUACAAGAAAUUGGAAACAUUUUUUAAUUGUGUCAACAGGCAUGAAUUUAAUCUACUCAUUACUGCGUUCCAGUUACCUCCCAAAAUGUUCCAUUUACAGACUUUUUAUACAGACUUGCAAGUAAUCUCUCAUUUGGUGCUCCCACACCUGCACUUUCUGAAGAUCCAUAGUGACAGAUCAUGUUGACAGUUCCCAAGUUCAACCCUAAAAUUUCAAGUUGAAAAGUUUUGAAGUGACCACAUUGAGAGAGAUCUCUGUUUGAAAAUGUAAGAGCCAUUGCCAGUUGAACUAGGUGGCACUAGACUAGAUGAAGCAGUGGUGUGGUAGGCUAAAGCAUCAUCAUAUAUAUUUAGGUGAGCUCAAAAAAAAAUUAAGGGUUUAAAAGUGCCCAGGGAAGUACAGGUGGGCAUCAUGCUGAGGGAUUUGUGAGUUAUGUACUCAAACAUACCGUUUCUUCCAAACACUUAUCAUAUGUCUGUUUUGAACUGAAAAUAGAUAAAACCUAUUUUUUCAUUCUUUUUUUAUAGUAAAAUAUAUGGCUAGGAGAUCCAUUAUUCCUGUUUGCUCAGAACAUUCUGUUAUAUCCUUUUACUGUAUCCUUUCUUGGGACUUAUCACUUGAUACUGUUGAAUUGUUUUGCUUACAUGAAGAGCUGUCCACCAAUUAAUCAUAUGUCUCCUAACCAAAUUUAAAAUAAAUUUCCAUUUUCAAUA